GAUGAACGCUGGCGGCGUGCCUAAUACAUGCAAGUCGAGCGAACGGACGAGAAGCUUGCUUCUCUGAUGUUAGCGGCGGACGGGUGAGUAACACGUGGAUAACCUACCGAUAAGACUGGGAUAACUUCGGGAAACCGGAGCUAAUACCGGAUAAUAUUGUGAACCGCAUGGUUCAAAAGUGAAAGACGUUCUUGCUGUCACUUAUAGAUGGAUCCGCGCUGCAUUAGCUAGUUGGUAAGGUAACGGCUUACCAAGGCAACGAUGCAUAGCCGACCUGAGAGGGUGAUCAGCCACACUGGAACUGAGACACGGUCCAGACUCCUACGGGAGGCAGCAGUAGGGAAUCUUGCGCAAUGGGCGAAAGCCUGACGCAGCCACGCCGCGUGAGUGAUGAAGGUCUUCGGAUCGUAAAACUCUGUUAGUAGGGAAGAACAUAUGUGUAAGUAACUCUGCACAUCUUGACGUUACCUAAUCAGAAAGCCACGGCUAACUACGUG
This 497-nucleotide ribosomal RNA is filed under the name uncultured bacterium. RNAcentral's name for it is "partial 16S ribosomal RNA". It matches the Rfam family "Bacterial small subunit ribosomal RNA", at positions 28 to 507 of the family's 1533-position model. The record is from RNAcentral.